RNAcentral lists this ribosomal RNA (445 nucleotides) under uncultured bacterium. Its description in RNAcentral is "SSU rRNA". It matches the Rfam family "Bacterial small subunit ribosomal RNA", at positions 26 to 518 of the family's 1533-position model. The record is from RNAcentral.
AGAGCGAACGCUGGCGGCAGGCCUAACACAUGCAAGUCGAGCGCCCCGCAAGGGGAGCGGCAGACGGGAGAGUAACACGUGGGAACGUACCCUUUGGUUCGGAACAACACAGGGAAACUUGUGCUAAUACCGGAUAAGCCCUUACGGGGAAAGAUUUAUUGCCAAAGGAUCGGCCCGCGUCUGAUUAGCUUGUUGGUGAGGUAACGGCUCACCAAGGCUACGAUCAGUAGCUGGUCUGAGAGGAUGAUCAGCCUCACUGGGACUGAGACACGGCCCAGACUCCUACGGGAGGCAGCAGUGGGGAAUAUUGGACAAUGGGCGCAAGCCUGAUCCAGCCAUGCCGCGUGGAUGAUGAAGGCCCCUAGGGUUGUAAAGUCCUUUCGACGGGGAAGAUAAUGACGGUACCCGUAGAAGAAGCCCCGGCUAACUUCGUGCCAGCAGCCGC